CUACUUUGCUGACGAGCGGCGGACGGGUGAGUAAUGCUUGGGAACAUGCCUUGAGGUGGGGGACAACAGUUGGAAACGACUGCUAAUACCGCAUAAUGUCUACGGACCAAAGGGGGCUUCGGCUCUCGCCUUUAGAUUGGCCCAAGUGGGAUUAGCUAGUUGGUGAGGUAAUGGCUCACCAAGGCGACGAUCCCUAGCCGGUUUGAGAGGAUGAUCAGCCACACUGGGACUGAGACACGGCCCAGACUCCUACGGGAGGCAGCAGUGGGGAAUAUUGCACAAUGGGCGCAAGCCUGAUGCAGCCAUGCCGCGUGUGUGAAGAAGGCCUUCGGGUUGUAAAGCACUUUCAGUCAGGAGGAAAGGUUAACGGUUAAUACCCGUUAGCUGUGACGUUACUGACAGAAGAAGCACCGGCUAACUCCGUGCCAGCAGCCGCGGUAAUACGGAGGGUGCGAGCGUUAAUCGGAAUUACUGGGCGUAAAGCGUACGCAGGCGGUUUGUUAAGCGAGAUGUGAAAGCCCCGGGCUCAACCUGGGAACUGCAUUUCGAACUGGCAAACUAGAGUGUGAUAGAGGGUGGUAGAAUUUCAGGUGUAGCGGUGAAAUGCGUAGAGAUCUGAAGGAAUACCGAUGGCGAAGGCAGCCACCUGG
Molecule: ribosomal RNA, 650 nt
Filed under: uncultured marine bacterium
Lineage: Bacteria
Description: bacterial SSU rRNA
Rfam family: Bacterial small subunit ribosomal RNA
Source: RNAcentral